Molecule: ribosomal RNA, 430 nt
Filed under: uncultured bacterium
Lineage: Bacteria
Description: partial 16S ribosomal RNA
Rfam family: Bacterial small subunit ribosomal RNA
Source: RNAcentral
AACGAACGCUGGCGGCAUGCUUAACACAUGCAAGUCGAGCGCCCCGCCAGGGGAGCUGCAGACCGGUGAGUACCGCGUGGGAACUUACCCUUAUCUUCGUGAUAUCUCUGUGAAACUGGAAUUAAUACCGAAUGUGCCCUUUAGUGGCAAGAUUUAUCGGGUAAUGAUCGGCUCGCGUUUGAUUAGCGGGUUGGUGGGGUAAAGGCCUACAAAGGCGGCGAUCCAUAGCUGUUCUGAGAGGAUGAUCAUCCACAUUGGGACAGAGACACGGACCAAACUCGUAGGGGAGGGAGAAGUGGGGAAUAAUCGACAAUGGGCGCGAGCCUGAUGCAGCCAGGCCGCGUGAGUGAUGAAGGCGUUAGGAUUGUAAGGCUCUUUCACCGGAGACGAUAAGACGGGAAUCAGUAGAAGAAGCCCGGGCUACUAUGGG